Molecule: ribosomal RNA, 253 nt
Filed under: uncultured bacterium
Lineage: Bacteria
Description: partial 16S ribosomal RNA
Rfam family: Bacterial small subunit ribosomal RNA
Source: RNAcentral
UACGUAGGUGACCAGCGUUGUCCGGAUUUACUGGGCGUAAAGAGCGCGCAGGCGGUCGUUCAAGUCGAGUGUGAAAGCCCCCGGCUCAACUGGGGAGGGUCACUCGAUACUGAUCGACUCGAAGGCAGGAGAGGGAAGCGGAAUUCCCGGUGUAGUGGUGAAAUGCGUAGAUAUCGUAAGGAAGACCAGUGGCGAAGGCGGGUCUCUGGACAGUUCCUGACGCUGAGGCACGAAGGUCAGGGGAGCAAACGGG